GAAUCUAUUCCAGUCCUAUCUAAUCCUUUUGACCCGAACCAACCCGUCAUUUUUUUUAACCCAAAUCAUUUUCCAAGUCUUCCAUCUUCAUCUUUCUACCUCGUCAAAGGAGAACGCGUAAAGGACCUCCUAAUCGGUGGCGUGAAGUUCCAAAGAAUGAAAAAUCGACCCCGAAGCAACGCGUGUUCGUCGUUCCCCGUCAAUCAAAGCAUAAGCUGCCUGCUCUAACGUCCUUUUCUGCUCUUGUUUGUACGACAGGGCAGGGUAUCCUAAAGCCAUCGUCCUUGAGCACUCAGAAAUGAGGCCACGUAACCCAACAAGGGCGCACAUUCAAUCCGAACCCUACACGCAAUUUCUAUCCGUUCAUUUUGUGAGGAUCAUUUGGGGAUAUUCAUUAGGGUUAAGAAUUUAGGCUUUUAAAAAUUGGAUGGGCCUUCAUUCGAUUUUUGGGAGCCCUUUUUCCUUUAAUUUUAAAACCAUAGUUCAUUCAUAUAUAUGAUCGUUUUUCGCUUUUGAGAGGGGUUUUUUUUCUUUUGGAGAGAUUUUCUUGAGGCUAGAGGCUUUCUUUAAGCCAAGGAAAUACGUAGAGAGUUUUUGAGUGUGAAGAUACUUAAACUAAGACAAAAGAAAAGAAAGAUUUUUGAGAAUUCUUAGAUAGAAUGAUAGAAAGAUUUUAAGUUCAAGCUUACAUAGGAUAGUAAUUUAUUACCUAGUUUUUUUUCCUCUGUUUUGUUUUGCUACCAAGUUUCUUCUCGAAUCCAAUUUUAGAUCAACAUUCUGCACGAGUCUGUGUUCCUUGUUGGUGUUAGUGUGGUGGAGUUCACUGCUACCCGUCUCCUACUCGUAACUACUUUAGUUCGCUGCCCUCGACAAGGUGUAAAAUUCAUCUGAUUUCGCCAUGAACUGUCUCCUUCCAACAUGUACAAAGAUCCUUAAAAGCUCAAAAUUAUCCUAUCAAGUCAGCCAAUAAAAAUAGACGUAAAGAUUGAGAAGUUAAAGAUUAUGGAUUAAAGCGGCCAAAAUUAGUUUUUCUAGUGCAAGCUUGUAUCUUUAUGAUCUUUGGGACUAAUCCCUGUUGUUCUUUAUUUUUCAUACUUAUCAUUUAUUAUUAUAUGUUUAGUCUAGGACGGGUACUCAAGAUGAUAAAAUUGGUCAAAAACCCAAAAGAAACGGGUCAAAAACCCAAAA
Solanum lycopersicum (tomato) is the source of this 1188-nucleotide long non-coding RNA. RefSeq lists it as uncharacterized. The record is from RefSeq and is a predicted model, not a curated record. NCBI's taxonomy places the organism in Eukaryota, Viridiplantae, Streptophyta, Magnoliopsida, Solanales, Solanaceae.